This 253-nucleotide ribosomal RNA is filed under the name uncultured bacterium. RNAcentral's name for it is "partial 16S ribosomal RNA". It matches the Rfam family "Bacterial small subunit ribosomal RNA", at positions 524 to 776 of the family's 1533-position model. The record is from RNAcentral.
UACGUAUGGUGCAAGCGUUAUCCGGAUUUACUGGGUGUAAAGGGAGCGCAGGCGGCACGGCAAGCCUGAUGUGAAAGCCCGCGGCCCAACCGCGGGACUGCAUUGGGAACUACCGGGCUGGAGUGCCGGAGAGGUAGGCGGAAUUCCUAGUGUAGCGGUGAAAUGCGUAGAUAUUAGGAGGAACACCAGUGGCGAAGGCGGCUUACUGGACGGCAACUGACGCUGAGGCUCGAAAGCGUGGGGAGCAAACAGG